RNAcentral lists this unclassified non-coding RNA (476 nucleotides) under Hevea brasiliensis (rubber tree). The record is from RNAcentral. Lineage: Eukaryota; Viridiplantae; Streptophyta; Magnoliopsida; Malpighiales; Euphorbiaceae.
AGAAGCCUCCCCUUCAACCACAGCAACACCGCUAAAGAAUAAAUUUACAGAGUUGUGUAUAAAAAAAAUAAAUUUCAUGUUCAUGAAAUGGUUCAAAAUUUAAAGCUUUGAUGACAAGAAAAUUGAUCGGUCUCAGAACCAAAUUUGAUACUUGAAUUCUGAGAUACAAACCAUAAUCACAGUCACGAAAAGCUUAAAAGGAAAUAAGAUUUUAAAAGGGACAACAUGGCAACAACUCUCCUAGUGCCCAAUGGUAGUAGCAAGCCACCAGAUGAAGUGGUGGUAGUAAUGAAAUGAGAUAGCAUGUCAGCAAUGACAGCAUUUGUAAUGCAAAAAAAAAAAAUUUGCCAGUAAUGGUGGUGGGAAACAUUUCAGUAUGGCAGAAGCAACGUUUGCUGCUAUCAGGGAUGAAGGUGGUGCUCGUUGUGAAAAAGAUGGAUUUAGUGUUGGUGUCAGCAUCAGGCUACUGAAGGCCA